RNAcentral lists this unclassified non-coding RNA (1201 nucleotides) under Arabidopsis thaliana (thale cress). Lineage: Eukaryota; Viridiplantae; Streptophyta; Magnoliopsida; Brassicales; Brassicaceae. The record is from RNAcentral.
ACGAAUUAUGCGUUUAAUCCCACGCAACAAACUCCUCUGUGCUGGGUUGUGAUCUUAAAAAGGAGCUUUACUGUAUAGUGUUACAGUAGGAAUACCUACUAGAUCGAGGAUUCGGAACAGUACUAUCCUGUUUAUAUUGACAUUCUUCUGUUAAGAUUUCCCGUUUGAGAAACCCUUUAAGAUCUGAGUAUCUCGGAAUUGAAAAUAGGACUUUAUUUGCAUCCCUUCCAUUUCAUAGGAAUACAGCUAAGGAUACCAUCAGCUCGCAUACUAUUUACGGGAAACAGAAGUAGGGCAAAGAGGAAAAGAGCAACUCCCUCUAUUAGAACAAUAUUCUCGAAUCGUUGCCCUUUUAUUCAUGAAGAAAGAAAACACAUCGGUCUAUCUAAAGCAACAAAAUUCGUUCUAUCUUUCUUUCUCUCCUAUUAAUAAAACUGGACUUCUCCUCUGCUCCUAUCUUAGCGCGACGGAGAAGCCAGCACUGAGAGAAGACCUCCCUUUCAAAGUCCAUCGCCUGCACUUGAACCGGAUACCUACUAUUUAUUUUAUUGAACUAGACGAUCAGCGGACUUUUAUAUCAUAUCACCAACAACGGGUUUCGCCCACAGUACAGAGAUGAUCUCAAUCGCAUCGGCAUAAAGGUCCGGAUUCCACUUCAAAAGGAUUUACGCGCGAAUUCAACUAUAGACAUAUCUCUUUGGCGACCCAGGGACGGGGAUUCAUCAAUCCCGGGGUUCGAGGGAGACUUUAGAACCCCUAUAUAUGAGUCUCGAAACCAUUAUUUAUACAUUUCUCGAUGACAGAGAUCAUCUUUAAGGAGAAUAAACAUUGGUCCUUUAUUUAAUAACCCCGAUAUUAUCAAAACCAUGAUUUCCUUAUUUCUCGAUGGCAUAGGUUCCAGGGAAGGAAAACAGUCCGGUCCUUUUUCACCCCGAAAUUCGAGAGUAGCCGUAUAAACCAAUACCGGCAGAACCACCCAAACUCGGCUCAAAGCAGGAACAAAGACAUCUAGAAAGCCCACAUCACGUGGGGACUUGGCCUUGGUGGGACAUUCAACCGACAUACACAACCAAAUAAUAAUAGGUUUUAGCCAUGUAUUCCGCUACACCGCCCUAUUGAUCUACGCUUUCGAAGCAACCACCGGUACCAUUUUCACACAACAGAGCCGACUUACUUAUUACAUUUAUAGGACAGGGAACCG